GUACUACUAAAGACAAGCACCAGUUUCCCACUAGUGAUACUGGGGAUAAGUGGGCAGAGUAUGAGCCACCGUUUGUUGAAGAAGCAACAUAGCAGUUUCACUAUAUCCCUUUAAUUUUAAUC
Long non-coding RNA from Phyllostomus discolor (pale spear-nosed bat), 122 nucleotides. RefSeq lists it as uncharacterized. The record is from RefSeq and is a predicted model, not a curated record. The transcript is spliced from 2 exons. Lineage: Eukaryota; Metazoa; Chordata; Mammalia; Chiroptera; Phyllostomidae.